This 87-nucleotide transfer RNA is filed under the name Oscillospiraceae bacterium. Its description in RNAcentral is "tRNA-Leu". It matches the Rfam family "tRNA". Rfam says of the family: Transfer RNA (tRNA) molecules are approximately 80 nucleotides in length. Their secondary structure includes four short double-helical elements and three loops (D, anti-codon, and T loops). Further hydrogen bonds mediate the characteristic L-shaped molecular structure. tRNAs have two regions of fundamental functional importance: the anti-codon, which is responsible for specific mRNA codon recognition, and the 3' end, to which the tRNAs corresponding amino acid is attached (by aminoacyl-tRNA synthetases). tRNAs cope with the degeneracy of the genetic code in two manners: having more than one tRNA (with a specific anti-codon) for a particular amino acid; and 'wobble' base-pairing, i.e. permitting non-standard base-pairing at the 3rd anti-codon position. Lineage: Bacteria; Bacillati; Bacillota; Clostridia; Eubacteriales; Oscillospiraceae. The record is from RNAcentral.
GCCGCUGUGGCGAAACUGGCAGACGCAAGGGACUUAAAAUCCCUCGGGGGCAACUCCAUACCGGUUCAAGUCCGGUCAGCGGCACCA